This is a long non-coding RNA of Asterias rubens (European starfish), 3084 nucleotides long. RefSeq lists it as uncharacterized. NCBI's taxonomy places the organism in Eukaryota, Metazoa, Echinodermata, Asteroidea, Forcipulatida, Asteriidae. The record is from RefSeq and is a predicted model, not a curated record. The transcript is spliced from 2 exons.
GAUUUCUUUGCAAUGUAACUUUCAAAACAAUGUAGGUUAUGUCAAUCAAACCAAUUGAUUUGAGAUGUCCAGCGAAAAAGAAAAAAAAGUUGUUUCACUCCAUUCAAACACUUUUUUUCAUUUUCAAAAUUAUGUUAACUUCAUGUUAAACUUUGAGAAAAUUUUCACUCACAGAGAGUAGGUCUUGAAGAAAAUUGAUAUAAUUAUUUUAUUCAAGAAGAGGUCUAGAAAUUCAGCAACAAAGUUGAUUAUUGUACAUGUGUAUCAGCUUACUCAAAAUAUAGAAUAGUUUUAAUUUAUAUUGUCAAAUAAGUUAUAUUUUUGUACCUUUUCUUACUUUUGAUGAAUAUGAAAAUUACAUUUAUAAUGUUUUUGUGUGUUUAACCGAUUUUGUUUGCAAUAAUUGCAGUGUUGUUACCUUAAUUUUAUUAGACUUACUAUAUUUAUUUCUGAUCUAACAUACACACAAAAUCUAUUGUAAUUGUUUCUGAUAGUUAGCUGAUACACAAACUAAACGUAACAACCUAGUUAGACAUUAAUCUCUCGUUAUCUGUAAGUGCAAAUUCUGUUAAUUUCAGAACUUUUGAAAUAUAAGUUAGUUAUUUGAUAGUAAUUUUAGGCUUAAUUUAGACCAGUUGUUUUGUUUGGUACUGCAAUGGCAUAAGUAGUUCACAGUUUGUCACGCUAUCGGCAACACUUCCUGUUUUUUUUUCAACCUGCACCUGAACCAGGAAAAAAACACUACCUGAUCAACAAAUCUCUAGAUACCAAUCAAUAAAACGGUGUAUGCUAUCUGUUUUCCAGGGACACUAGACAUAGAUUGCAUUAAGCUCUAUUGUUUUUCUUGAUAAUGAUUCAACAAAAUUUCUGCAAGUUUGAAAGAUUUGUUGAAGAUUUUAAUCUCUGAAAGAGGUAUUUUAAUAUCAGUUUUUAAAAUGUUAACAAAUCAAUUUCCAUUGUACUUUUUCAACUUUUCCAAAUCGGGGGUGGGGGGAUUUAAAAAGACAUACUGAUUUUUAUGAAUGACAAACAAUAUUUAGCAAUUAAUUUCAGAUUUGUUCAAAUCAGUGUACCUAUCUCCAUGUUUUUAAUGAUUUGUUAGCCUUCGAGAAAGACUGCGAGGGUCGAAACAUCAGUCCAUUUACUAUUUUUUUUGGCAUUGAACAUAGGUCAUUUUGGUUGAUAAGCAGUUUGCAACAGCUAAUUCUAUUUUGUUCUGAUGUUUUUAAUGAUAUAGAUUUUUACAGAGGAAUGCACCUUUUUUGUUGAUUACUUUUUGAUUAUUGGUUGAUUUUUUUGUUGAUCAGAUUUUUGUUGGUUGAUGGGUUUUAGUGUAUGUAGAGUCUAGGUGAUGGCUUAUAGAAUGUGGUACUGUGAAUCAUAUUCGUAGUAGUUUGUUUUCAUUUAAGGAUGGCUUGGGUAAAGUUUGGAUUGGAUCGAACAGAGCAAAGACCCCCAAACAAUUUUUGAAGGAUAAGUUUCAUUCAAAUAGUCGGAGGAAGUACAAAGAAAACAAAAACAGAAACUUGUUUAAAUUGCGGAGACACAAAGAGAAAGUGAAACACAGGUAAGCUGAUAUUGUUUUGAUUCUUUUUACUCAAGGAUUGUGUACACAAAAGUAUCAUUUCUGAAACUAUUUUGGGAGUUUUUUUAAGUCACUCCUACUAAAUAUACCAACACUCAAUUUGCAUUCAUGCUACAAAAGUGUACUACUACUAUUAUGAUUUACUGUAUUAAAUAUGGAAAUACAGUGUAGGUUUUAAGCCGAUUGGCGAUUAAAAGCAAAUGAUUGUCUGUUUCUGAGGGUUGCUGUUUUCAUUUAAACAGGUCCUUGAUUUUGUUUGUAGAGUUCAGUGGUAUCACUGAAAGCUGUCAACAGGAUAUUUGUGGUGAUUUGUGAGGAUGAGGCUUUUAUUGUUCAGAAACAACAGUCAUUUGCCCUAUCUAACGAGAGUAAUAGUGUACCAAGAAUGCCAAAUCAAGAACAGGAUUUUCAGAAAACCACUUCAUCAAACAGGAAUCUGAUUAGAUACCAGGAGAUGAGUGUCCCUGGCGUGUUUGUACCAGGAAAAAACUGCAGGUGUGUGAAAUGUAUGAGGACGAAGAAUAUAUCAUUCGACCAAAUUGCUCCACACCUCUAGUUAUCUUAUCUAAACACACUUCUUGGUUUGGCUUGGUGUAAACUUAUUUUGACAAAACUACCGAUUGUGACAGAGGCUGUGUCUGGCUAUGGCUGGAUGCUCAUGCUCAUGCAUUAAUGUUGCCAUUGCAGCUGAUGCCCUAGCCAUGGACGCCAUUCAUGGACAUAGCCCCCAAAUUCCCUGAUUCAUAACAAAGGAAGGGAUCACGACUGUACUGUCUGCGGAUCCCUUUGAGGAUAUGCUAGGCACAGACUGAAUGUUGACUUUGUGUAAUUUGAGACUAAGUCAACACCGUAUGGAAAUACAAUCAACUUUCUCUGAAGGUUUCCAGUAUCUAGGUACAGUAUGUAUACCAUCAAAUGACCUCUUUCUAUUGAUCCAGUUCACUUGCCAUCAUCUAUCACAAUAAUCUUGGUUGCGCCAUUUUUGGAGUCGGUGUCCCUGUGCAUUGUAAAAACAAAGUGCACAUUUUAGGCGACAGGGCUUUUACUAGUUACUAUAACUUGUACGUGUAAUUUGACUCCCAAAAUGGCGUACAUGGCAGAGUAGCCAUGGGUGAUGUUGUGCAACAGGUCUAUACCUUAUAUUGACUUCACUGAUUUAAAAGCAUGAUCAUGAAUUCCAUUCCAGUGUGAUAAACCAUUUCCAAUUGUAUCUGGUGACUUCACAGCCUUGUAUGCAUACUUCACAUAACUGUGAUUUAGUAACUCUACAAGGAGAACAUCUACAAAAAAAGUAUUUCUCACAAAGCAGUAGACUUGCUGUAGUUGUCGGAUUGAGUAUUGGUUCAUUGAUCUGCUUUUUAACAAGUGUAUUUAAAAAAUGCUGAUAAAGUGUUUGAAGCAUUAUUUCUUGCCAACUUAGUUCUCGUAUUACAACACAUGGAAAAAGUGUCCUCUGUAAAGAGGCGUAACGGAUUCUACUUACUGAAGCAGAAGAAACA